CUCCCUCUGUCUCUCCCUCUGGAGUGUUUCCAGGUUCACUAUUAUUUCCAUAUGGUGACUAAUGCAUGUCCAGGUGCUCCAGUAAGCUCCAGGGCCGAGCAGUGUGCAGCGUUCAACAAUCAAGAGUUUAUGGGACGCGUGUAUGACUGGGAGCCUUUCACAGAAGUGGGUCUGGAGCAGCAGUGUGAGCUGACCUGUCGACCGGUCGGGUAUCGUUUCUACGUGCGACAGGCGGAGAAGGUACGAGAUGGAACGCCCUGCGCAAAUAACACACCCAACGAUGUGUGUGUGGGAGGACGCUGUCUGAGCGAGGGCUGUGACGGUGUGUUGGGCUCAGGGUUGGUCCGGGAUCGCUGUGGCAUGUGCGGCGGGGGAGACAGCACCUGUGAGAGGGUCACAGGAAGUUUCCUGAACACCAGCGUCCCACUGGGCUACCACAAGAUCCUGAACAUCCCACCCGGAGCCACGGCCAUCAACAUCACUGAGAGACGAGCCAGUCCCAACUAUCUGGCCCUGCGCAGUGGAACGGGUCAGUCAGUGGUGAACGGACGCUGGGCGGUCGAUCCUCCAGGAGAGUAUCAGGCUGGAGGAACCACCUUCCUGUACAGCCGACCCAAAUCUGGGCCUCAAGAGCAGGGAGAAGAGAGAGGAGAAACCCUCAGCGCUCCUGGACCCACAACAGCCCAGCUGCAGCUAUACGCACUAGUUUUUGAGGGCGCUUCUCUCUGUGUUUCAGGUGGCUUCUCAGUGGAAGUGGAGAAUCCUAUUGCUGCUCCUCCUGUGUCGUCUUCCGCCUCCUCACCUCCAUUUUCAUUCCCUUCCUCCUCAUCUUCAUCAUCGUCUUCCUCUGUAUCUGAUCGAUGGCCACAAGAGAGGCCCCGCCCACAGGGCUUAGGACCCAAUCGCAACGCUCGAAUCCCUCCAAGAACGGACCUCCCAUUGGACAAUCAGCCUGCGUUCGUGUGGCGAAGGGGUGCGCUGACAGAAUGCACUGCUACCUGCGGAAAAGGCUCUCAGUACAGAGAGAUUGUGUGUGUGAGUCGACACACAGAACAGGAAGUCCAUGAGAGGAGGUGUGACUCUGCAACCAAACCUGCGCCGGAGGAGGAACCGUGUAACGUUCAUCCCUGUCCACCGUUCUGGGAUAUGGGCGUGUGGUCCGAGUGCAGUGUCUCCUGUGGCUGGGGUGUGCAGCAGCGUCACAUACAGUGCAGGCAGAGUUUUGGGAAUCGCUCCACCAUGGUUCACCCUCAGCGCUGUGCCAGUCUCAGCCGCCCAAACGCCACGCAGCCCUGCCACCCACACGUCUGCUCGCACUGGGAGAUCAGCACCAACUGGAGCACGUGCUCAGUGGAUUGUGGACUGGGAAAGAGAUCCCGGAGCGUGCGCUGUGUCAGUGACCAUGGCAACACUGUGAGUGACAGGGAGUGCAGUGACAGGCUCCGCCCACAGCACACCGAGGACUGUCACAUGGGUCCUUGUGUCACGAACUGGUACUUCACGGACUGGACAAACACUUGCUCUGCGACGUGUGGGCCGGGCGUCCAGCGGAGAGAGGUGGUGUGUUUGAUCGUCGGGAGAGGAGACAGAGAAGUGAAGUGUGCGGGGGAGAAACCGGCUGAUAUGAAGGCCUGUAACGGGGGCCCCUGUACACCCACCCACCUCUGGUACACCGGACCCUGGGGACAGUGUAACGCAGCGUGUGGAAGCGGCACCCAGCGCAGGGACAUCAUCUGCGUGAGGAAGACAGGAAGUGACUUCACCGUGAGCGCUGCCAGUGAGUGCUCACACCUGGAGAAACCGUCUCCCGUGCAGCCGUGUGAGCUGCAGCCCUGCACACCGCAGUGGUUCACCACCGAGUGGAGCGCGUGCUCUCGGUCCUGCGGUGAAGGGGUGCAGACGCGGGAGGUGCGGUGUCUCACAGCUGACAAACAGCACAACACAGCCUGUGAUCUGGACUCAAGACCUGCCCAUGAGCGCUCCUGCAACACCAUACCCUGCAGUCCCUUCGAAGAUGAGAACUGUAAGGACAGAAGACAUAACUGUGUAACGGUGGUCCAGGCUCGACUCUGCGUCUACUCUUACUAUAAGAGCGCCUGCUGUGCGUCCUGCACCCAGAGUGCUCAGCGGGCCAAGAGACACUAACCCUGCACAAGCCACAGAGACAUCAGGUUCAGAGAUUCACCACCAGAGCCAAAACUCAGCCAAUCACAGUUCUCUCAGAGGAAACAGCCAAUCAGACGCCAUUCAGGUUCAAAAGGAAUUCCAAAAGAGAAUUCCAACUUGAGAUCAGGAUCCCUUUAAAGUUUGAAAAUGUUAACGCAUAUGGACUCAUGGGCUCAAAUGAUUGACAGUAGCUCUUUCCCCAUUGGUGAUGAGUGUUUAGUACACUAUCCUGUCAAAUACUCAACCAUUCCAGGUUUAUUUGUGUGACUGAGGUAUGAUAAAACAAGCAGAUUAAAAUUAUAUACUUAUUGCAUAAAACUUGUGAGCAGCGAUACAUUUUUACAUUAAAAAAAAAAAAAAAAACCUUUGGCCUUGUCUCAGUCCUCUAAAUGGCCCAUAAGAUAUCAGUACUUCAGAAAGGACAUACAUAUUCCAGCAUAAGUGCUCAGAUUGUCUAAAAAUAGCACACUUAGUGCUGACAGUCAGUCCUACAGAUCGUAUUUGAGUGCAGUGUGAACAGAAACCUGUAAAUCUACUAUGAAUCUAGUUCAUCAUUAAGCUAUAAAGAGAAGAUUAGCAUCAUGAUCAGCUCUCUUUAUUUGAUUCAGUCUUUAUUUCUUUUGGUUGGUUUUGUCUGAAUGUAUAUCAGUCCUUUUAGUGUUUCAUGUUUUUGUCAUUUUUUGUGUGACACGUUUUUUGUUUUGUUGUUUAUUGUUAUUUCUGGCUGUUUUUAUUGGUUCCCAUAUUGUAAAUUUAAGAAAAAGUUCACCCAGAAAUGUAAAUGUGCUCACCUGUCCAAUAUAAGGAGAAGUUUGUUUCUUCAUCAGGUUUGUAGAAAUGUAGCAUUGCAUCAGUGUGUCAUCAAUGGAUGCUCUGCAGUGAAUGGGUGCCGUCAGAAUGAGAGUCCAAACAGCUGAUAAAAACAUCACAAUAAUCCACAACACUCCAGUCCAUCAGUUAAUGUAUUUUCCUUAAUUUCAAAUAUUUUAAGUUUUAAGCAUAUUUCUCUUCUGGUUCAGAUGAGAUGGACUUUUUCACUGGAGGAAGCAUCAUUAUGAAUCAAUGGUUUGAAGUUAAAAUGUUAUUAGUCUCCAGAUGUUAGUUAAUGUGGUGUUUUUAUCAGUUGUUUGGACUCUCAUUCUGACAGUAUAGUGAUUUCAGCCGAAGUCAGGUACAAUGCAAGACCACUGCCUUGGAUCAAACUGAGAUUAAAAUACUCUCUAGUGUUAGAACAUGUGAGAUUUCCAAUUAACAUUUUAGUAUAUAAAUACAGUCAGUUGUGUGUGUUCGUGUGUGUGUGUGUGUGUGUGUGUGUGUGUGUGUUUCAUGUCUGAGAGUUUAUGUAUAUUAUGUAUAUUAUCACGUACGUUUAGACAGGUAGCAGAUAGUCUUUAGAUGAAUAAAAAGAUGCUUUAUAUAUAAAACA
Molecule: long non-coding RNA, 3592 nt
Organism: Carassius auratus (goldfish)
Lineage: Eukaryota; Metazoa; Chordata; Actinopteri; Cypriniformes; Cyprinidae
Source: Ensembl